RNAcentral lists this ribosomal RNA (115 nucleotides) under Stenosemella ventricosa. RNAcentral describes it as "partial 28S ribosomal RNA". It matches the Rfam family "Eukaryotic large subunit ribosomal RNA", at positions 1 to 111 of the family's 3401-position model. Lineage: Eukaryota; Ciliophora; Spirotrichea; Tintinnida; Codonellopsidae. The record is from RNAcentral.
UCAGCAUCUGAAAUGAAGUAGGACCACCCGCUGAACUUAAGCAUAUCAUUAAGCGGAGGAAAAGAAACUAACAAGGAUUCCCUAUAGUACGGGCGACGGAAGCGGGAAAAGCCCA